CCUUUCUGUCCUGUUUGGUUUCGCUUUUACCAGCUUGGCCAUCUGUAACGGUCACAAAAACUUGUUUUGAAAAUGUUGUUCAUUUGUUUAUAAAUGUUUUGCAAUCUGGGGCUUAACUCCUUUUUAUAAACAAUGAAAAUGCAGGUCGUGGUCAAUGGCCAAUCUCAAUGUAGAAAAGGCAACCAAAUCUUACUUGGGACCCACAAACAAGAGUAAAGCUGAGAAACACGAAGUGAAAUCCUCGUCACCAGAUAUAACUCAGCACCGUCUCAGGCAUGGAUCCCAGUGUGCUCUGGCUUUUUGCAACCACUAUUGCAGCA
RNAcentral lists this long non-coding RNA (320 nucleotides) under Fukomys damarensis (Damara mole-rat). Its description in RNAcentral is "lncRNA (ENSFDAG00000026157.1)". The record is from RNAcentral. Lineage: Eukaryota; Metazoa; Chordata; Mammalia; Rodentia; Bathyergidae.